RNAcentral lists this ribosomal RNA (491 nucleotides) under uncultured bacterium. RNAcentral describes it as "partial 16S ribosomal RNA". It matches the Rfam family "Bacterial small subunit ribosomal RNA", at positions 28 to 507 of the family's 1533-position model. The record is from RNAcentral.
GAUGAACGCUGGCUACAGGCUUAACACAUGCAAGUCGAGGGGAAACGACGGGGAAGCUUGCUUCCCCGGGCGUCGACCGGCGCACGGGUGAGUAACGCGUAUCCAACCUGCCUCUGACUGAGGGAUAACCCGUCGAAAGUCGGCCUAAUACCUCAUGGCAUCGUCUGCGGGCAUCCAACGACGAUUAAAGAUUUCAUCGGUCAGGGAUGGGGAUGCGUCUGAUUAGCUUGUUGGCGGGGUAACGGCCCACCAAGGCUACGAUCAGUAGGGGUUCUGAGAGGAAGGUCCCCCACAUUGGAACUGAGACACGGUCCAAACUCCUACGGGAGGCAGCAGUGAGGAAUAUUGGUCAAUGGGCGGGAGCCUGAACCAGCCAAGUAGCGUGCAGGAUGACGGCCCUAGGGGUUGUAAACUGCUUUUAUGCGGGGAUAAAGUGAGGGACGUGUCCUUCAUUGCAGGUACCGCAUGAAUAAGGACCGGCUAAUUCCGUG